CCUACGGGAGGCAGCAGUGGGGAAUAUUGCGCAAUGGGGGAAACCCUGACGCAGCAACGCCGCGUGAAGGAUGAAGGCCUUCGGGUUGUAAACUUCUUUGAUUGGGGAAGAAGAAAGUGACGGUACCCAAAAAACAAGCCACGGCUAACUACGUGCCAGCAGCCGCGGUAACACGUAGGUGGCGAGCGUUGUCCGGAAUUACUGGGUGUAAAGGGCGUGUAGGCGGGGUAGCAAGUCAGAUGUGAAAUUCCAGGGCUCAACCCUGGAGCUGCAUCUGAAACUGCUGCUCUUGAGUGUCGGAGAGGAAAGUGGAAUUCCUAGUGUAGCGGUGAAAUGCGUAGAGAUUAGGAGGAACACCAGUGGCGAAGGCGGCUUUCUGGACGAUAACUGACGCUGAGGCGCGAAAGCGUGGGGAGCGAACAGGAUUAGAUACCCUGGUAGUC
RNAcentral lists this ribosomal RNA (443 nucleotides) under uncultured bacterium. Its description in RNAcentral is "bacterial SSU rRNA". It matches the Rfam family "Bacterial small subunit ribosomal RNA", at positions 338 to 795 of the family's 1533-position model. The record is from RNAcentral.